GCUGGAAUGGUCUAGUUGGUUAUGACGACUGCCUAACACGGAGUAGCCCCCGAGUUCGACUCUCGGUUCCAGUA
Non-coding RNA from Perkinsus olseni, 74 nucleotides. The record is from the annotation of a GenBank genome assembly. Lineage: Eukaryota; Perkinsozoa; Perkinsida; Perkinsidae.